GAAGGUAACCCAAAUGCUCUCGAUUUCUAACUGCAAGAGUUGGCAUAUUUGUCUGAGAGAAUAUAAAGCCAGUGAUUAUUUCCAAGAUCAAGUAAUUUCUUGAUCUCAAACUAGCCAGAGCAUCUGAGCCUGUAACAGUGAGGGACAGUAACACCCUGCUGUUGGGACAUCCACACCACCCAGCCCCUGGUGACACAUUCUAGACAUUGGAAACUCUUGCCAGGGUUCAUUAUGGGCCUUUGAGAAGGAAUCAGUAUUUCUGAGUACCUAUGUUUUUAACUAGACAUUCUGCUAGGCAUAUUUGUUCAUAUUCUUUUGACUCAGAUAAUGGUGUCUUAGUUUCUUUUCCUGUUGUUGUAACAAAAUAAUUCAAAGGAACAGGAUUCAGCUCAAGCGUCCAGUCCAUCCUGGCAGAGAAGCCAAGGUAUCAGGGGCUUGAAAGAGCUGGUCACAUGAUGUCCACAAUCAGGCUGCUGAGAGUGACGAAUGCUUUUGUUUAGCUCACAUUGUCCUUGUUAUAGAGCCAAGAAGCCAGUCCAGGAGAGAAUACUGCCCACUUUUAACAUCAGCCUCUCCACCUCAUUUAACCUAUAAUAAUCCCUAGCAGGUAAGUCUAGAGGCUGAGCCUGGAGGCUUAUCUCCUUAGAUGGUGCUAGAUCUUGUCACACUGACAGAGUAUACUAACCAUCACUUAGAGCGGUGAUCUGCCCAUUCACAGGAGUCACCUAGGACCAUCAGAAAACAGAUAUUUGCAUUACUAACACUAGCAAAAUUACAGAUAUGAAAUAGCAACAAAAAUAUUUUAUGGCUGAGGUCACCACAACAUGAGGAACUUUAUUAAAGCACCCCAGCAUUAAGAAAGUUAACAACUGCUGAUUUAUAAUGUCCACAAGCCUCACUCAUAAUUUUUCCUUGAAGAAUGACCCAAAUCAUAGACAUUACAUUUGGUAGCAACAAUUUUCCUGCAGAUAAAAAUGAUGGUUAUAUAUAACUUUGAAGACUACCUUGAAGCAAUAGGGUAUGCACCGAGUACAUUUUUCAUUGGUAGUUUAAUUCUAGCUACAAUGGUCACAUUUCAGCUGCUUAGUAGCCACAUGUGGCUAAUGGCUCUGGUGCAGUCCCAUCCUUGCAGAAUGUCCAACUAGACAGUGUACUACCUGGAG
Molecule: long non-coding RNA, 1163 nt
Filed under: Mus musculus (house mouse)
Lineage: Eukaryota; Metazoa; Chordata; Mammalia; Rodentia; Muridae
Description: long non-coding RNA chr9:86711198-86712361
Source: RNAcentral